This 368-nucleotide long non-coding RNA is filed under the name Prunus persica (peach). Its description in RNAcentral is "long non-coding RNA (PPER_LNC000115)". The record is from RNAcentral. Lineage: Eukaryota; Viridiplantae; Streptophyta; Magnoliopsida; Rosales; Rosaceae.
UUGACCAGAAUGAGGAGCGAGAGGUAGAUCCGUACAAAGUAGUAUGACGAACCAUACGCGCUUCAACAGUGGUUUCAGCAACAAGAAGAUGUGGGCGAAAAUCUUUUAAGAGACAAAGAUGAUUCCCCGAGCAAUCAAGACAGUGCGAAUCAUAUCAUAUUCCGACGGUAAACCAUUCAACGCAGCAAUGGUAAAAUCAUCAUCAUAUAUCUUCACACGAGUGGCAUGCAACUGAUCGUGAAUAUGUUUGAGACGAAGAAUGAAGCAUUCAAUCGAAUGAGUUUCAGAAGUUACCAUACAUUUCGCCAUAUGAGGAUUCCUUGCGCUCAAAGUGGAGCUUGCAGAUUGGAGUAACAAUUGGAGCUUCU